AGUGAACGCUGGCGGCGUGCUUAACACAUGCAAGUCGCACGAGAAAGCUUCUGCUUGCAGAGGCGAGUAAAGUGGCGCACGGGUGAGUAACACGUGGGUAAUCUACCUCCGAAUUGGGGAUAACAUUGCGAAAGCGAUGCUAAUACCGGAUGACAUUACAGGUUCUUCGGGACUUGUGAUCAAAGGUGGCCUCUUCAUGAAAGCUAUUGUUUGGAGAUGAGCCCGCGUCCCAUUAGCUAGUUGGCAGGGUAAUGGCCUACCAAGGCAACGAUGGGUAGCUGGUCUGAGAGGAUGAUCAGCCACACUGGAACUGGUACACGGUCCAGACUCCUACGGGAGGCAGCAGUGAGGAAUUUUGCGCAAUGGGGGAAACCCUGACGCAGCAACGCCGCGUGAGUGAUGAAGGCUUUCGAGUCGUAAAGCUCUGUCAAGUGGGAAGAAGUCAUGCAUGGCCAAUAUCCAUGUAUGUUGACGGUACCACUGAAGGAAGCACCGGCUAACUCCGUG
Molecule: ribosomal RNA, 507 nt
Filed under: uncultured organism
Description: bacterial SSU rRNA
Rfam family: Bacterial small subunit ribosomal RNA
Source: RNAcentral